CAGAGAAUAGUUUAAUUAAAAUGCUAGUUUUGGGAACUGGCGAUAAGAGUGUACUCUUUUCUCUGA
This 66-nucleotide transfer RNA is filed under the name Benthonectes filipes. Its description in RNAcentral is "tRNA-Pro". It matches the Rfam family "tRNA". Rfam says of the family: Transfer RNA (tRNA) molecules are approximately 80 nucleotides in length. Their secondary structure includes four short double-helical elements and three loops (D, anti-codon, and T loops). Lineage: Eukaryota; Metazoa; Arthropoda; Malacostraca; Decapoda; Benthesicymidae. The record is from RNAcentral.